Molecule: non-coding RNA, 490 nt
Organism: Ictidomys tridecemlineatus (thirteen-lined ground squirrel)
Lineage: Eukaryota; Metazoa; Chordata; Mammalia; Rodentia; Sciuridae
Source: RefSeq, a predicted model, not a curated record
GCUUCCUGCCCAUGUUGUCAUGACGCCCAGAUGGCCUUGGAGAGCCUGGAGCAGUGAGAAGGGGCCUCCUCAGUUGCCCCUGCCCCUCCAUGCUGGUGCCCAAGAUCUUCCUAGCCUGCCCAUCAGGGGAGCCUCUCCCACUUAGACCUUGAAACUGCCCUGCAUGGAAGAUCAGGCUGAAGGUGCUGGCAGGAGUGAAGUUCAGUUCUCACAUCUACCACCAGAUGGAGCCGAGACCCUACAGACCAAAUUAGGUUUCUGGAACCCAAUGCCCAGGGCUGGAAGGGCAGUUCUCUGACAGGGGGACCUAGGGGAGAAGGGGAAGUUCAUUGAGGCUGAAGAUUCUGGCAAGUCAGGGCCAAUGCUAGGUCCUCUCCACUUGGAUCUGUGGUUUCUGUGAGUGGCUACAAGAGGGUCUGUCCUGGUUGUCACAACUUCUCUUGCUAGUUGAAGGAAUCCUUCUCCCCAGUAUUAAAACUGAAACAAAAUA